CCUUCCCUACGGGACGCAGCAGUGGGAAAUAUUGGGCAAUGGGCGCAAGCCUGACCCAGCAACGCCGCGUGAAGGAAGAAGGCUUUCGGGUUGUAAACUUCUUUUGUCAGGGACGAAGCAAGUGACGGUACCUGACGAAUAAGCCACGGCUAACUACGUGCCAGCAGCCGCGGUAAUACGUAGGUGGCAAGCGUUGUCCGGAUUUAUUGGGUGUAAAGGGCGUGUAGGCGGGAAUGCAAGUCAGAUGUGAAAACUAUGGGCUCAACCCAUAGCCUGCCUUUGAAACUGUAUUUCUUGAGCGCUGG
RNAcentral lists this ribosomal RNA (305 nucleotides) under uncultured bacterium. Its description in RNAcentral is "bacterial SSU rRNA". It matches the Rfam family "Bacterial small subunit ribosomal RNA", at positions 333 to 652 of the family's 1533-position model. The record is from RNAcentral.